This is a long non-coding RNA of Orbicella faveolata, 1147 nucleotides long. RefSeq lists it as uncharacterized. The record is from RefSeq and is a predicted model, not a curated record. Lineage: Eukaryota; Metazoa; Cnidaria; Anthozoa; Scleractinia; Merulinidae.
UAUAGGUAUAUGCGGUCCUAAAGGGUAUAUGGUUUUUCAGCCGUUUUAGUCAUAAAUAGGGUAUCAAAUAUGGAUUACGCGCGAAUAUUGUCACGACACCAACUCGCGCGGGUCACGCGCGAGAUGAGUGAACUCUCCCACCAUUCUUUGCAACCACAGGUCGUCCAUGUUGUUGAACCGCCAAAGUUGAAAGAGGCUGAAAAAAGGCAGACUAAAAGGGCUGAACUUCGCUUGGAGCUGGAGAACUCUGUUGGCGAGCGAUUGAACUCGGAUUGCAGCUGAAGACAAAAUACCUGAGGACAAGACAGGAGGAGGAUACUAUCCACAAGCUUACUCUUACUAGAAUGAUGAUAAUUUUUUUUUUUUUUUUUUUUUUGCAAUCCAGGACCAGGUAAACACUUGUGUUCUUAUGCAAUGAUCAAAUCAAGACUUAACCUGGUUCAUUCAGGGGAAUGCCCCAAGGGCAUCCCUACAGGGUGCUCAAGUCAUCAAAUUCUACAGCAGAAAAAUAAUUAAAAUGCACCACCAUUUUUUUUGCUUUUUUAGUUAAUGCACUAUUAUUACAGGAUCCAAAAUAGUCAGGGAAAUUUUUGUUUUUCAAAAUCAGGGAAAGUUCACCUGGGGAAUAAAUGGAGAAAAUGGGAAGGUUCCCUUUUAUACUGUACCUUUGCAAAAAAAAAAUAACUAGACCAAACUACUGAACUAAUUCCAUUCAAAUUAAUACUUAUAGUAUGACACACUUUCAAAAAGUGACCACCAAACUAACUACAGUGUAAGAACGGACAUUACUCAACUUAUACCAGCAACUACUCACCCCUACAGUAGUCACUACGGUAUUUCUUGACCUCAACAGAACUCACAGGAUGUUCUUCAAUGAGCCUCAACACAAACUUCACCUAAAGUAAACCAGUUGAAUCAGACCAUAACUGAUCAGUCUCUGAUUACUACCUUUUUAUAAUGGCUUGACAGGUUCUCAAAGCAUCAGUGCUUUUACACUAGACAAACUACUUAAUGAAACUUGUCCACUUUUUUUCUUUGUGGUUGGCAACUUGACAGUUGUUCCUUUGGGCACCUCAGAAUGGGACAUACUGUAAUGACUUCCUCAAUCCACCCCCCUCCCCCAACUCUUCAACCCUUUCAUGAUUCA